RNAcentral lists this ribosomal RNA (253 nucleotides) under uncultured bacterium. RNAcentral describes it as "partial 16S ribosomal RNA". It matches the Rfam family "Bacterial small subunit ribosomal RNA", at positions 524 to 776 of the family's 1533-position model. The record is from RNAcentral.
UACGUAGGGGGCUAGCGUUGUCCGGAAUCAUUGGGCGUAAAGCGCGCGUAGGCUGUCAGUUAAGUCCGGUGUGAAAGUCAAAGGCUCAACCUUUGAAUGCCGCUGGAAACUGGCUGACUUGAGUCCGGAAGGGGCGAGUGGAAUUCCUGGUGUAGCGGUGAAAUGCGCAGAUAUCGGGAGGAACACCGGUGGCGAAGGCGGCUCUCUGGGCCUGUCCUGACGCUCAGGCGCGAAAGCUAGGGGAGCAAACAGG